UCCUGAAGGGAAAGAGUCAUCCCCAGCAGGCUGUUGGAGCAGAAGGGAAGCGGCUGUCAGAGCGCUCCAGGAAGGGUGUGGAAUGUGUGCGGGACCAGGUUGCAGCAGCAGCAAAAGACAAGCCAGAGAAGCGUGAGCUCAGGAGAACUUUUGAGGUGGAACCUGAAGGGAGGAGUGUCCAGAGAAUCUUUAGGAAAG
Molecule: long non-coding RNA, 198 nt
Organism: Corvus hawaiiensis (hawaiian crow)
Lineage: Eukaryota; Metazoa; Chordata; Aves; Passeriformes; Corvidae
Exons: 3
Source: RefSeq, a predicted model, not a curated record